UUCCCGUCACUGCGACAAGCAGGUCGAUUCCCUACUUGUCGCAGUGACGGGAAUGA
This 56-nucleotide microRNA precursor is filed under the name Heligmosomoides polygyrus. RNAcentral describes it as "microRNA hpo-mir-10046 precursor". Lineage: Eukaryota; Metazoa; Nematoda; Chromadorea; Rhabditida; Heligmosomidae. The record is from miRBase by way of RNAcentral.